UACGGAGAGUGCAAACGUUGUUCGGAUUCACUGGGCGUAAAGGGCACGUAGGCGGCUCGGCAAAUCGGGCGUGGAAUCCCGACGCUUACCGUCGGAACGGCGGCCGAAAAUACCGGGCUCGAGGGCGUGAGGGGUCACUGGAACUCCUGGUGAAGCGGUGAAAUGCGUAGAUAUCAGGAGGAACGCCGGAGGCGAAAGCGAGUGACUGGCGCGUUCCUGACGCUGAGGUGCGAAAGUGUGGGGAGCGAACAGG
This 253-nucleotide ribosomal RNA is filed under the name uncultured bacterium. RNAcentral's name for it is "partial 16S ribosomal RNA". It matches the Rfam family "Bacterial small subunit ribosomal RNA", at positions 524 to 776 of the family's 1533-position model. The record is from RNAcentral.